RNAcentral lists this long non-coding RNA (408 nucleotides) under Gallus gallus (chicken). The record is from RNAcentral. Lineage: Eukaryota; Metazoa; Chordata; Aves; Galliformes; Phasianidae.
GAGUAGGUGUUGCCACCCGUGACGCCCUGCAGGUUCACAAUCUCAGCCUCGGCGUAGUGCGGGACACCCUCGGGGCCGCUGGCCGGGGAUGGCUUCACGAGGCCACUGCAGCCCGUGUCCUCCUCACCCGCCGUGAACUCAGGCAGCUUGCGGAUCAGGCGUGAGGGCUCCUGGUAGUCCGGACCCAAGGGAAAUAUGCGGUCGUAGGUGGAAUUGGACUCGUGCUCGCUGGAGGAGGAGGAGCGAUUGUGGUUGAACAUGCUGGAUUCACUGGGCAGGGAGAGGCUGACGGUCAUCUCGUCAUCCAGCAUCCUCCGUGAUGCCUUCUCCAGCAUCUUCUGCCAGAACUGCCGCCACAGAAUGAUGACGAUGAUGGCCACCAGGAUGAAGAUGAUUGCCACCAGGCAC